RNAcentral lists this ribosomal RNA (359 nucleotides) under Lysinibacillus xylanilyticus. RNAcentral's name for it is "bacterial LSU rRNA". It matches the Rfam family "Bacterial large subunit ribosomal RNA", at positions 2568 to 2925 of the family's 2925-position model. The record is from RNAcentral. Lineage: Bacteria; Bacillati; Bacillota; Bacilli; Caryophanales; Bacillaceae.
AGGGUUGGGCUGUUCGCCCAUUAAAGCGGUACGCGAGCUGGGUUCAGAACGUCGUGAGACAGUUCGGUCCCUAUCCGUCGUGGGCGUAGGAAAUUUGAGAGGAGCUGUCCUUAGUACGAGAGGACCGGGAUGGACACACCGCUGGUGUACCAGUUGUCUUGCCAAAGGCAUCGCUGGGUAGCUAUGUGUGGACGGGAUAAGUGCUGAAAGCAUCUAAGCAUGAAGCCCCCCUCAAGAUGAGAUUUCCCAUUACGCAAGUAAGUAAGAUCCCUCAAAGACGAUGAGGUAGAUAGGUUCGAGGUGGAAGUGUGGUGACACAUGGAGCUGACGAAUACUAAUCGAUCGAGGACUUAACCAAA